RNAcentral lists this ribosomal RNA (483 nucleotides) under uncultured bacterium. RNAcentral describes it as "partial 16S ribosomal RNA". It matches the Rfam family "Bacterial small subunit ribosomal RNA", at positions 28 to 507 of the family's 1533-position model. The record is from RNAcentral.
AUUGAACGCUGGCGGCAUGCUUUACACAUGCAAGUCGAACGGCAGCGCGGGCUUCGGCCUGGCGGCGAGUGGCGCACGGGUGAGUAAUGCAUCGGAACGUGCCCAGUAGUGGGGGAUAGCCCGGCGAAAGCCGGAUUAAUACCGCAUACGACCUGAGGGUGAAAGCGGGGGACCGAAAGGCCUCGCGCUAUUGGAGCGGCCGAUGUCGGAUUAGCUAGUUGGUGGGGUAAAGGCUUACCAAGGCGACGAUCCGUAGCUGGUCUGAGAGGACGACCAGCACACUGGGACUGAGACACGGACCAGACUCCUACGGGAGGCAGCAGUGGGGAAUUUUGGGCAAUGGGGGCAACCCUGAUCCAGCCAUGCCGCGUGCGGGAAGAAGGCCUUCGGGUUGUAAACCGCUUUUGUUCGGGAAGAAAUCCUCUGGGCUAAUACCUCGGGGGGAUGACGGUACCGGACGAAUAAGCACCGGCUAACUACGUG